GAUGAACGCUGGCGGCGUGCUUAACACAUGCAAGUCGAACGAAGCACUUUAUUUUAUUUCCUUCGGGACUGAUUAUUUUGUGACUGAGUGGCGGACGGGUGAGUAACGCGUGGGUAACCCGCCUUGUACAGGGGGAUAACAGUUGGAAACGGCUGCUAAUACCGCAUAAGCGCACAGCAUCGCAUGAUGCAGUGUGAAAAACUCCGGUGGUAUAAGAUGGACCCGCGUUGGAUUAGCUAGUUGGUGAGGUAACGGCCCACCAAGGCGACGAUCCAUAGCCGAACUGAGAGGGUGACCGGCCACAUUGGGACUGAGACACGGCCGAAACUCCUACGGGAGGCAGCAGUGGGGAAUAGUGCACAAUGGGCGAAAGCCUGAUGCAGCGACGCCGCGUGAGAGAAGAAGUAUUUCGGUAUGUAAAGCUCUAUCAGCAGGGAAGAUAAUGACGGUACCUGACUAAGAAGCACCGGCUAAAUACGUG
RNAcentral lists this ribosomal RNA (481 nucleotides) under uncultured bacterium. RNAcentral describes it as "partial 16S ribosomal RNA". It matches the Rfam family "Bacterial small subunit ribosomal RNA", at positions 28 to 507 of the family's 1533-position model. The record is from RNAcentral.